This 457-nucleotide ribosomal RNA is filed under the name uncultured bacterium. Its description in RNAcentral is "SSU rRNA". It matches the Rfam family "Bacterial small subunit ribosomal RNA", at positions 26 to 518 of the family's 1533-position model. The record is from RNAcentral.
AGAAUCAACGCUGGCGGCGUGCCUAACACAUGCAAGUCGAACGAGAAAGGGUAGCAAUACCUGAGUAAAGUGGCGCACGGGUGAGUAACACGUGACUAACCUACCUUUUAGUGGGGGAUAACCUAGGGAAACCUGGGCUAAUACCGCAUAAUACCUACGGGUCAAAGCAGCAAUGCGCUGAAUGAGGGGGUCGCGGUCGAUUAGUUAGUUGGCAGGGUAAUGGCCUACCAAGACUGUGAUCGAUAUCCGGCCUGAGAGGGCGCACGGACACACUGGAACUGAAACACGGUCCAGACUCCUACGGGAGGCAGCAGUGGGAAUUUUGCGCAAUGGGGGAAACCCUGACGCAGCAACGCCGCGUGGAGGAUGAAGUCCCUUGGGACGUAAACUCCUUUCGAUCGGGACGAUAAUGACGGUACCGGAAGAAGAAGCCCGGCUAACUCGCGCCAGCAGCCGC